UAUGUACUUUAGUCAAAUAUAUAAAGAUUUGAUUUAAAUUUCAAAUAUUUUAUGUAUUUAAGUUGAAUGAAUAAAGCUUGGACUAAAGAAAUUUAAUCGAGUUGAAAAAUUUGGUCAAAUUAACAUCAUUUUUUUCUCAGUGUACAAUAUUAUAAAACAUUACAAUACAUCGUAUCUCUUAUACUUUCGUGUAUUCGCGAGUUUAUCAUGCGACACUUUCGCGGAUAAUCAGCUUAUAAAAUCCAAACUGUUAUUUACGGCGAUGGAAAUUUAAUAUUUUGUGUCACGUACGAAUCUUUUUUUCCCUGUAAACUCUACGCAAAGAAAAGAGCCAACAGUUUCUCGCGGCAUUUGAAGAAUUCGUACCGCGGUUAAACCGCAAUUUCCACUUUUGCCAUAAGCACUGAUAAUUGGCCACGAGAAAAUGACAAAACGACGAACACGAUAACAACGAUGACAACGACGACGUAAAACGAUGCGUGCAAAUAAGUUCUCAGAUCAGGAGACCGUCCUAUUAAGUCGAAACUAAUCUACCUAAUAAGUCUAACUGCCGAGGACUAGGAAAUACGUGGUUCUCCAGUAUUCUUUGUAGUGUUGUCUAGUGUUGCAAAAUUAAUUAAAAAUCAAGACAUGCAAUAAAUAAUUAGCAUACCGAGGUGUACGUUUCGCGUGUGAUUAAAUUUAACGGAACAGCAAGUGCGCAAUUAGAAAAGUAACGUGUGAAUUUUAUUAUUUUCUAUCUGCUUUGUUUUCUUUCUGUACGUGCAUUUCUAUGUAUAUUUAUAAUUCGCAGUAUUGUCUCGUGAUAAUAACCACGGGUUAAUAAUACGGUUUUAUAUGUGUAUUUAAAGAAAGAGUAUCGUGGGCGAUAUGAUAUUUAUGCGUUAAAUGGUACCGAAGAAUAAGCAAGUGAAACGGAGUCAUGCACGAUUAGCAGAUUAAAAUAUGAUGGUACACUCGGGCACUGUUACACGGUCAGAGCAAACUUAUUAGCCACUGUGACCUAAGUCCCGCAAGAAGAUAUAUCCGUUGCCUGACUCAUCAAUUCGUGAUACCUCAUUUACCCAUGAGGGAUAAUCCCUCCUCAGCCUCCAUUGAUGUCACGGGAAAACAAAUAUCUAUAUAUUUAUAUAUAAUUUAUCAUGUUGUAUAUUAUAUGUAUAUUUGCCAAGAUAUUUGCUGAUUUGUUGCCUAAAUUCUUUUUCCUCUGUAAAAAUAAAUAAAUUUAAACACA
Molecule: long non-coding RNA, 1234 nt
Filed under: Monomorium pharaonis (pharaoh ant)
Lineage: Eukaryota; Metazoa; Arthropoda; Insecta; Hymenoptera; Formicidae
Description: uncharacterized LOC118647607, transcript variant X1
Source: RNAcentral